CUCUGUGACUCCUACGGGAGGCAGCAGUGGGGAAUAUUGCACAAUGGGCGCAAGCCUGAUGCAGCCAUGCCGCGUGUAUGAAGAAGGCCUUCGGGUUGUAAAGUACUUUCAGCAGUGAGGAAGGCGGAGUCGUUAAUAGCGGCCUCGUUUGACGUUAGCUGCAGAAGAAGCACCGGCUAACUCCGUGCCAGCAGCCGCGGUAAUACGGAGGGUGCGAGCGUUAAUCGGAAUUACUGGGCGUAAAGCGCAUGCAGGUGGUUUGUUAAGUCAGAUGUGAAAGCCCGGGGCUCAACCUCGGAAUUGCAUUUGAAACUGGCAGACUAGAGUACUGUAGAGGGGGUAGAAUUUCAGGUGUAGCGGUGAAAUGCGUAGAGAUCUGAAGGAAUACCGGUGGCGAAGGCGGCCCCCUGGACAGAUACUGACACUCAGAUGCGAAAGCGUGGGGAGCAAACAGGAUUAGAUACCCUGGUAG
RNAcentral lists this ribosomal RNA (472 nucleotides) under uncultured bacterium. RNAcentral describes it as "bacterial SSU rRNA". It matches the Rfam family "Bacterial small subunit ribosomal RNA", at positions 328 to 793 of the family's 1533-position model. The record is from RNAcentral.